Molecule: ribosomal RNA, 459 nt
Filed under: uncultured bacterium
Lineage: Bacteria
Description: partial 16S ribosomal RNA
Rfam family: Bacterial small subunit ribosomal RNA
Source: RNAcentral
CCUACGGGGGGCAGCAGUGAGGAAUAUUGGUCAAUGGGCGGGAGCCUGAACCAGCCAAGCAGCGUGAGGGAAGAAGGUACAGCGUAUCGUAAACCUCUUUUGUCAGGGAACAAAGGCGGGUACUAGUACCCGGUUGAGGGUACCUGAAGAAAAAGCAUCGGCUAACUCCGUGCCAGCAGCCGCGGUAAUACGGAGGAUGCGAGCGUUAUCCGGAUUUAUUGGGUUGAAAGGGUGCGCAGGCGGGCGGUAAAGUCAGCGGUAAAAGUCCGGGGCUCACCCCCGGCGAGCCGUUGAAACUGGCGGGCUGGAGUUCGGGAGAAGUAGGCGGAAUUCGCGGUGUAGCGGUGAAAUGCUUAGAUAUCGCGCAGAACCCCGAUUGCGAAGGCAGCGUACCGGCUCCACACUGACGCUGAGGCACGAAAGCGUGGGUAUCGAACAGGAUUAGAUACCCCAGUAGUC